AUAGGGCCCUCAUGACAAUCCCUACUACCACCAUAACUCAAACCAAUGAACUGGUAUACGCUACAGCCUCUGUAAUCCUGGAGAUGCUUGGCUACAAGCAGUGCCAAGUGACAGCAACAUCA
Molecule: long non-coding RNA, 122 nt
Organism: Gopherus evgoodei (Goodes thornscrub tortoise)
Lineage: Eukaryota; Metazoa; Chordata; Testudines; Testudinidae
Exons: 3
Source: RefSeq, a predicted model, not a curated record